This 328-nucleotide ribosomal RNA is filed under the name uncultured eukaryote. RNAcentral describes it as "partial 18S ribosomal RNA". It matches the Rfam family "Eukaryotic small subunit ribosomal RNA", at positions 1470 to 1796 of the family's 1831-position model. The record is from RNAcentral.
CCCUUAGAUGUUCUGGGCUGCACGCGCGCUACACUGAAGCGUUCAACGAGUAUUCACCUUGCCCGGGAGGGUUGGGUAAUCUUUUGAAAACGCUUCGUGAUGGGGAUAGAUUAUUGCAAUUAUUAAUCUUCAACGAGGAAUUCCUAGUAAACGCAAGUCAUCAGCUUGCAUUGAUUACGUCCCUGCCCUUUGUACACACCGCCCGUCGCACCUACUGAUUGAAUGACUCGGUGAAAAAUCGGGACUGCGAGAACAAUCGAUUAAUUUCGAAUGUACUUGUGGGAACUUUUUUUAACCUCGCCAUUUAGAAGAAGGUGAAGUCGUAACA